RNAcentral lists this ribosomal RNA (119 nucleotides) under Lupinus angustifolius (narrow-leaved blue lupine). The record is from RNAcentral. Lineage: Eukaryota; Viridiplantae; Streptophyta; Magnoliopsida; Fabales; Fabaceae.
AGGUGUGAUCAUACCAGCACUAAUGCACCUGAUCCCAUCAGAACUCCGCAGAUAAGCGUGCUUGGGCGAGUGUACUACUAGGAUGGGUGACCUCCUGGGAAGUCCUUGUGUUGCACCUC